RNAcentral lists this ribosomal RNA (468 nucleotides) under uncultured bacterium. Its description in RNAcentral is "partial 16S ribosomal RNA". It matches the Rfam family "Bacterial small subunit ribosomal RNA", at positions 28 to 507 of the family's 1533-position model. The record is from RNAcentral.
GACGAACGCUGGCGGCGUGCUUAACACAUGCAAGUCGAACGGAAAGGCCCUGCUUUUGUGGUGUGCUCGAGUGGCGAACGGGUGAGUAACACGUGAGUAACCUGCCCUUGACUUUGGGAUAACUUCAGGAAACUGGGGCUAAUACCGGAUAGGAGCUCCUGCUGCAUGGUUGGGGUUGGAAAGUUUCUGCGGUUGGGGAUGGACUCGCGGCUUAUCAGCUUGUUGGUGGGGUAGUGGCUUACCAAGGCUUUGACGGGUAGCCGGCCUGAGAGGGUGACCGGCCACAUUGGGACUGAGAUACGGCCCAGACUCCUACGGGAGGCAGCAGUGGGGAAUAUUGCACAAUGGGCGAAAGCCUGAUGCAGCAACGCCGCGUGAGGGAUGACGGCCUUCGGGUUGUAAACCGCUUUCGCCAGUGAAGAAGCGUGAGUGACGGUAAUGGGUAAAGAAGCACCGGCUAACUACGUG